RNAcentral lists this transfer RNA (67 nucleotides) under Mastigoteuthis agassizii. RNAcentral's name for it is "tRNA-Ala". The record is from RNAcentral. Lineage: Eukaryota; Metazoa; Mollusca; Cephalopoda; Oegopsida; Mastigoteuthidae.
GACAUUAUACUUUAUUAUUAGAAGAUGUGAUUUGCAAUCAUAAAGAAAGAGCUAUUCUUUAAUGCCA